RNAcentral lists this ribosomal RNA (484 nucleotides) under Ptycta maculifrons. RNAcentral's name for it is "partial 16S ribosomal RNA". The record is from RNAcentral. Lineage: Eukaryota; Metazoa; Arthropoda; Insecta; Psocodea; Psocidae.
AACACAUGUCUUUUUGAUAAAAAUUUAAAGUCCGGUCUGCUCACUGAAUUAUUUUAAAGAGCCGCAGUAUAUUGACUGUGCAAAGGUAGCAUAAUCAAUAGUUUUUUAAUUGAAAACUAGAAUGAAAGAUUAGACGAAAAAUUAAUUUUCUUUAUUUUAAUAAAUUUAAUUUUAAAUUUAAGUGAAAAUGCUUAAAUAUAAUUAAAAGACGAGAAGACCCUAUAGAUUUUUAUUAUUGAAAUAAAUUUUUAAAUUUAANUUUAAUAAAAUAAUUUAAUUGGGGCGAUUUUAUAAUAUAAAUAACUUAAUUUUUUAAAACCAUAAAUAAUUGAAUNGUUUGAUCUAAAAUUUUUAAAGGAAAGAUUAAAUUACCUUAGGGAUAACAGCGUAAUUUUAUUUAAGAGUUCAUAUCUAUAAUAAAGUUUGCGACCUCGAUGUUGAAUUAAGAUAAUAUAUUGGAGUAGAAAUUAAUAUAAUUAGUCUG